GGGUUGUGAGGUUAAGCGACUAAGCGUACACGGUGGAUGCCCGGCAGUCAGAGGCGAUGAAGGGCGUGCUAAUCUGCGAUAAGCGCCGGUAAGGUGAUAUGAACCGUUAUAACCGGCGAUACCCGAAUGGGGAAACCCAGUGUGAUUCGUCACACUAUCAUUAACUGAAUCCAUAGGUUAAUGAGGCGAACCGGGGGAACUGAAACAUCUAAGUACCCCGAGGAAAAGAAAUCAACCGAGAUUCCCCCAGUAGCGGCGAGCGAACGGGGAGGAGCCCAGAGCCUGAAUCAGCAUGUGUGUUAGUGGAAGCGUCUGGAAAGGCGCGCGAUACAGGGUGACAGCCCGUACACAAAAGCGCAUGUGCUGUGAGCUCGAUGAGUAGGGCGGGACACGUGGUAUCCUGUCUGAAUAUGGGGGACCAUCCUCCAAGGCUAAAUACUCCUGACUGACCGAUAGUGAACCAGUACCGUGAGGAAAGGCGAAAAGAACCCCGGCGAGGGAGUGAAAAAGAACCUGAAACCGUGUACGUACAAGCAGUGGGAGCACCCUUCGGGGUGUGACUGCGUACCUUUGUAUAAUGGGUCAGCGACUUAUAUUCUGUAGCAAGGUUAACCGUAUAGGGGAGCCGCAGGAAACCGAGUCUUAACCGGGCGUUAAGUUGCAGGGUAUAGACCCGAAACCCGGUGAUCUAGCCAUGGGCAGGUUGAAGGUUGGGUAACACUAACUGGAGGACCGAACCGACUAAUGUUGAAAAAUUAGCGGAUGACCUGUGGCUGGGGGUGAAAGGCCAAUCAAACCGGGAGAUAGCUGGUUCUCCCCGAAAGCUAUUUAGGUAGCGCCUCGUGAAUUCAUCUCCGGGGUAGAGCACUGUUUCGGCUAGGGGCCAUCCCGGCUUACCAACCCGAUGCAAACUGCGAAUACCGGAGAAUGUUAUCACGGGAGACACACGGCGGGUGCUAACGUCCGUCGUGAAGAGGGAAACAACCCAGACCGCCAGCUAAGGUCCCAAAGUCAUGGUUAAGUGGGAAACGAUGUGGGAAGGCCCAGACAGCCAGGAUGUUGGCUUAGAAGCAGCCAUCAUUUAAAGAAAGCGUAAUAGCUCACUGGUCGAGUCGGCCUGCGCGGAAGAUGUAACGGGCUAAACCAUGCACCGAAGCUGCGGCAGCGACGCUUAUGCGUUGUUGGGUAGGGGAGCGUUCUGUAAGCCUGCGAAGGUGGCCUGUGAGGGUUGCUGGAGGUAUCAGAAGUGCGAAUGCUGACAUAAGUAACGAUAAAGCGGGUGAAAAGCCCGCUCGCCGGAAGACCAAGGGUUCCUGUCCAACGUUAAUCGGGGCAGGGUGAGUCGACCCCUAAGGCGAGGCCGAAAGGCGUAGUCGAUGGAAACGGGUUAAUAUUCCCGUACUUGGUGUUACUGCGAAGGGGGGACGGAGAAGGCUAUGUUGGCCGGGCGACGGUUGUCCCGGUUUAAGCGUGUAGGUGUGUGUUCCAGGUAAAUCCGGUUCACUUUAACACUGAGGCGUGACGACGAGGCACUACGGUGCUGAAGCAACAAAUGCCCUGCUUCCAGGAAAAGCCUCUAAGCAUCAGGUAACAUCAAAUCGUACCCCAAACCGACACAGGUGGUCAGGUAGAGAAUACCAAGGCGCUUGAGAGAACUCGGGUGAAGGAACUAGGCAAAAUGGUGCCGUAACUUCGGGAGAAGGCACGCUGACACGUAGGUGAAGUGAUUUACUCAUGGAGCUGAAGUCAGUCGAAGAUACCAGCUGGCUGCAACUGUUUAUUAAAAACACAGCACUGUGCAAACACGAAAGUGGACGUAUACGGUGUGACGCCUGCCCGGUGCCGGAAGGUUAAUUGAUGGGGUCAGCGCAAGCGAAGCUCCUGAUCGAAGCCCCGGUAAACGGCGGCCGUAACUAUAACGGUCCUAAGGUAGCGAAAUUCCUUGUCGGGUAAGUUCCGACCUGCACGAAUGGCGUAAUGAUGGCGGGCUGUCUCCACCCGAGACUCAGUGAAAUUGAACUCGCUGUGAAGAUGCAGUGUACCCGCGGCAAGACGGAAAGACCCCGUGAACCUUUACUAUAGCUUGACACUGAACAUUGAGCCUUGAUGUGUAGGAUAGGUGGGAGGCUUUGAAGUGUGGACGCCAGUCUGCAUGGAGCCGACCUUGAAAUACCACCCUUUAAUGUUUGAUGUUCUAACGUGGACCCGUAAUCCGGGUUGCGGACAGUGUCUGGUGGGUAGUUUGACUGGGGCGGUCUCCUCCUAAAGAGUAACGGAGGAGCACGAAGGUUGGCUAAUCCGGUCGGACAUCAGGAGGUUAGUGCAAUGGCAUAAGCCAGCUUGACUGCGAGCGUGACGGCGCGAGCAGGUGCAAGCAGGUCAUAGUGAUCCGGUGGUUCUGAAUGGAAGGGCCAUCGCUCAACGGAUAAAAGGUACUCCGGGGAUAACAGGCUGAUACCGCCCAAGAGUUCAUAUCGACGGCGGUGUUUGGCACCUCGAUGUCGGCUCAUCACAUCCGGGGGUGAAGUAGGUCCCAAGGGUAUGGCUGUUCGCCAUUUAAAGUGGUACGCGAGCUGGGUUUAGAACGUCGUGAGACAGUUCGGUCCCUAUCUGCCGUGGGCGCUGGAGAACUGAGGGGGCUGCUCCUAGUACGAGAGGACCGGAGUGGACGCAUCACUGGUGUUCGGGUUGUCAUGCCAAUGGCACUGCCCGGUAGCUAAAUGCGGAAGAGAUAAGUGCUGAAAGCAUCUAAGCACGAAACUUGCCCCGAGAUGAGUUCUCCCUGAGACUUAGAGUCUCCUGAAGGAACGUUGAAGACGACGACGUUGAUAGGCCGGGUGUGUAAGCGCAGCGAUGCGUUGAGCUAACCGGUACUAAUGAACCGUGAGGCUUAACCUUACAACGCCGAAG
RNAcentral lists this ribosomal RNA (2910 nucleotides) under Salmonella enterica subsp. enterica serovar Adjame. Its description in RNAcentral is "23S ribosomal RNA". It matches the Rfam family "Bacterial large subunit ribosomal RNA". Lineage: Bacteria; Pseudomonadati; Pseudomonadota; Gammaproteobacteria; Enterobacterales; Enterobacteriaceae. The record is from RNAcentral.